Molecule: long non-coding RNA, 1095 nt
Organism: Poecilia latipinna (sailfin molly)
Lineage: Eukaryota; Metazoa; Chordata; Actinopteri; Cyprinodontiformes; Poeciliidae
Exons: 2
Source: RefSeq, a predicted model, not a curated record
UUUGAAGUUUUGGGAUGCCAAUCAGUUAUGAGAGCAACACAUUGUUGUCACGGUUACGCAGCAUAAGAACUGUCCGAAAAUGGGGGUAGGGGGGGAGUAAAAUGUGAUCAAAAGUCUAGAAAAAGGAAAAAUCUGAACUAAGAUUACAAGCGGGGCGUGACUUGCCCGAACAAACGCACGAACACAAGACCCGUUCCCUUACAGUCAACCGUUUAAUGACUCGGGUAGUGAUGUUGAGGCGGUGUGGAAGAAGUUUUUGUGUAGGUAAGAGACAAAUACAUUAUUCGAUAAAGAGAUUACAUUUUAUCGAGUAAUAUAAAGUCAGGUUUUUAUUACUAUUUUAUUAUUGUUGCUCUUUUAUUGUUGCUAAACGAGCAACAAUAAAAUUCAAAGCUGCCUUCUAGCUGCUGAAACUGGAAUUAGAUCUGAGAAUUAAGUCACCUUUGAGUUGAGUUGAGCACAUUUAAUUCAAAUCAAAUUUAAUGAAAAAAUAUUGAUCCCAAAGGGAAUCAAUAUUUUUUGAUGUUGCUUAAUCAAAGAGUUAUUGUAGACGGUGAUGGCUGCGAGCAAAGAGGCCAUCACAGCCACAGGUGCUCCAGAGUGCCAUGUUGCCAGCUACUGAUGCAUGUACAGUCUGUAUUACAGUCUAAUGCAGACUGUAACAGUCUGUAUUAUUAUAUUUGAACUGAACUAUGUGCCACUGGUUUAAUAUUCUAGAGAACAACAGAAGUGCCAAUAGUUACACAUAUGUGUGGAUGGGCAGAUGCAUAAUGUAGCGUUACUGUGUAGUCACAGGGGCUGGAUCUCUGCUUAAUGUCUGUCUCAUGCUUGUUUUGUUGUCAUAGCAACGAUUGAUGUUGUAUGUCAAGCUGCUAAAGUUUCUAUAGAGAACGUUGGAAUAAGAUUUUUUCUUUUUUUUUUUUUUAUAUGGCACCAAAACCAGCUCCAGUCCAGAGGAUCACAUCCUUGCCUGUUUGCUUCCUGCUUCCAGUCAGGCAGGGUGUAGGAAGGAAACAAAAUAAACAUGUAUCCUUAUCCUCUGAGCUCAGAAACGGUAAAGGAAAUAAAUCAAUAAAUAAAAUGUAGGAAAAAUUU